This 253-nucleotide ribosomal RNA is filed under the name uncultured bacterium. Its description in RNAcentral is "partial 16S ribosomal RNA". It matches the Rfam family "Bacterial small subunit ribosomal RNA", at positions 524 to 776 of the family's 1533-position model. The record is from RNAcentral.
UACGAGGGGGGCGAGCGUUGUCCGGAAUUACUGGGCGUAAAGAGCUCGUAGGUGGUUUGUCGCGUUGUCCGUGAAAACUCACAACUCAAUUGUGGGCGUGCGGGCGAUACGGGCAGACUGGAGUACUGCAGGGGAGACUGGAAUUCCUGGUGUAGCGGUGGAAUGCGCAGAUAUCAGGAGGAACACCGGUGGCGAAGGCGGCAUCCUGGACCGAUACUGACGCUGAGGAGCGAAAGCCAGGGGAGCAAACGGG